This 207-nucleotide ribosomal RNA is filed under the name uncultured bacterium. RNAcentral describes it as "partial 16S ribosomal RNA". It matches the Rfam family "Bacterial small subunit ribosomal RNA", at positions 568 to 774 of the family's 1533-position model. The record is from RNAcentral.
UGCGUAGGUGGCACUUUAAGUUGGAUGUGAAAUACCCGAGCUUAACUUGGGGGCUGCAUCCAAUACUGGAGAGCUAGAGUGCAGGAGAGGGAAGUGGAAUUCCUAGUGUAGCGGUGAAAUGCGUAGAUAUUAGGAGGAACACCAGUGGCGAAGGCGACUUUCUGGACUGUAACUGACACUGAGGCACGAAAGCGUGGGGAGCAAACA